Molecule: long non-coding RNA, 10884 nt
Organism: Neofelis nebulosa (Clouded leopard)
Lineage: Eukaryota; Metazoa; Chordata; Mammalia; Carnivora; Felidae
Exons: 3
Source: RefSeq, a predicted model, not a curated record
UAUAUGUAUGUAUAUAUAAAAGUUUUGUUUAUUUUGAGAGAGACAGAGAUAGCAUGAGUUGGGGAGAGGCAGAGAGAGAGGGGGAGAGAGAUAAUACCAAACAGGCUCCUCACUGCCAGGGCGGAGCCGGUCACAGGGCUUGAAACUCAAGAAACUGUGAGAUCAUUACCUGAGCCAGAACUGAGAGUCAGACGCUUAACCAACUGAGCCACUCAGCCGCCACAUCAUAUUUUGAUUUUUCCAACCGUUAAAAAAUGUAAAGGCUUUACAUUGGAAACAAAAACGGGCAGUGGGCUGGAUUUGGCUGGUUGGUAGUAUGUCCUCUCCUGAUCCGAAAGCUAAACUGGGGCCUGAUGAUCUGUGUUAUAUUAAACAAUUUAGGCUUUGGGUGGAGUCAUAGAUAAGUUUUAAGCAAGGACAGGGCAUGCAUAGGUAAAAUGAGUUUUAGAAAGAACUCUACCUGUUAAGCAUUAAAAGAACUGUAGAGGUCACAGGUGGAGACCAGAUAGGAGUCUUUUGAUGACAGCUUAAGUUAAAGUAGUAACAGUGGAAUGGAUGGACAGAUUUGAGAGGUAAUAGAAGGAGAACUGAUAGGAUACAGAGAUUGGUGGGGAUGAGGGAAAGUGAAGACUCAAGGCUAAUUUCUAGGCUUUGGGAUUGGAGAAUUAUGUGGCAUAUGGUGGUGCUAUUUAUUGAGCUGAGAGGAUUACAGGAGCUUUUUGAAGAGAGGAGGGUAUUUAAAUGUUGGACAUGUGGAUUUUGAAGUAUCUAUGGAAAAUGUAGGCAUGGAGCUUUAGAUCUGCAAAUUGUGCUGGUUUGCUUAUAAAGACGAGAUUGAGGGGUGCCUGGGUGGCUCAGUUGGUUAAGCCUCUGACUUCGGCUCAGAUCAUGAUCUCAUGGUUCCGUGGAUUCGGGGCCUGUGUUGGGCUCAGUGCUGACAGCUCAGCCUGGAGUCUGCUUUGGACUCUGUGUCUCCCUCUCUCUCUCUGCCCCUCCCCCACCCAUGCUCUGUCUCUGUCAAAAAUAAAUAAACGUUGAAAAAAAUUAAAAACAUAAUAAAAUAAAGAUGAGAUUGAAUAGCAAUGACAAUACAUCCAUUUACUUAUUAAUACAAUAAUUUUUUUGGAAGAAUUCUCUGCUGUUCUGGGAGCCAAUUACACCUUGGAAGACCAUAGGAGAGCUUGACAGAGCAGAUAAGGAGUCACCAGCAUAUAAAUGGAAAUUGAAGGUAUGGGAAUUGAUGAGCUCACCCAUCAGAUGUAUAUAGAGUGAGAACAACAAGUCCUUGGAGAGGCAGCUGAGAACAGCAAUUGACUGGCAAUUGACACUGAGAAGGAACAGCCAAAAAGGCUAGCAGUAUGUGGCAGGAUCCUCUUUUGUGAUGUGGGUAGUGGCAAUGAGCCACAGCUUCUAGCCAGCCAUGAUUGCAAAGGUAAACAACCAAUACACUUAUAACCAUUCUGUUUUUCACUUUCAGUACAGUAUUCAAUAAAUUACAUAGAUAUUCAACACUUCAUUAUAGAACAGGCUUUGUGUUAGAUGAUUUGCCCAAUGUAAGUGAUCUGACCAUGUUUAAGGUAGGCUAGGCUAGGGGGCGCCUGGGUGGCUCAGUCAGUUGAGUGUUUGACUCUUGAUUUCAGCUCAGGUCAUGAUCUCAAAGUUCAUAGGAUUGAGCCCUGUAUUAGGCUCUGUGCUGUCAGCACAGAGCCUGCAUGGGAUUCUCUCUCUCUCUCUCUCUCUCUCCUCUCCCUCUCCCUCUCCCUCUCACUCUCCCUCUCCCUCUCCCUCUCCCUCUCCCUCUCCCUCUCCCUCUCCCUCUCCCUCUCUCCCCCUCCCCUGCAUUCUCUCUCUCACACAAAAUAAAUAAACUUUAAAAUAAUAAUAAGUAGGCUAAGCUAAGCUAAGCUAUGAUGCUCAGUAGUUUAGGUGUAUUAAAUUCAUUUUUGACAUGGUAUUUUCAGCACAUGUAGCUUUAUCAAGGUGUAACCCCAUCAUAAGUUAAGGAAGAUACAUAGUAGCAGAAUAUUGAGACUAGAGGAGAAACACAUGGAAGUGAGUUUUCCUUAAAUUGAGUCACUUAACUCCUUGGUAAUUCAGUUUCUUCACUUGUAAAAUGAGCAUAGUAAUAUAGUAUCUUAUCCAAAAUCCAUGAGGACAGAUAUAUCUGAGAAUUUCUAAAUUUUAAGAUUUUAGAAUGCUGUCAUGGUACAUAUACCAGAUAUUAUGAGAUACCCUCACGGGGCUCUAGGGCAAAUCAAACAUUAAUAUUUCUGCAUUGAAAGGUAUUAUGGUGGACAGACUCUUAAAGUGACCCCACACUCUCCACUUCCUGGUGUUUACUCGCUUAUAUGAUCCUGUCCCUUCAAGUGUGGGUAGGACCUGUGACUUGCUUCUAACUGAAAGAAUAUGGCAAAGAUGAUAAGAUGUAUAUGAUUGCAAGUGCAUGAUUAUGUGAUUACGUUACAUAGGAUUGUAGUAUCCGUCUUGCUGGAGUGUCAGUCUCCGUCUUUUCUUCUCCCUACCACUCAUCCUUGCUGGCUUUGAGGAAGCAAAUGGCCAUGGUAGGGGAUGCCACACAGCAAUGAAUAUGACUUCUAAGCUGAGGGCAGCCUCCGACUUACAGGCAGCAAACAAAACAAAACACACACACACACACACACACACACACACACACCAAACUGAAGCCCUCAGUCCUACCACCUCAGGGAACUGAAUUCUGCCAAUAACAUGAGUAAACUUGGAAGUGGAUCCUUCCCUGUUAGAACCCAGUAGAGACUGCAGCCCCAGCUGACCUUGAUAGAAGCCUUGUGAGAUCCUCAGCAGAGAACCCAGCUUGGACUCCUGACCAAUGGAAACUUAGAGAUAGUAGGGGCGCCUGGGUGGUUUAGUCCGUUAAGUGUCUAACUUCGGCUCAGGUCGUGAUCUCGCGGUUGGUGAGUUUAAGCCCCGUGUGGGCCUCUGUGUUGACAGCUCAGAGCCUGGAGCCUGCUUUAGAUUCUGGUACUCCCUCUCUCUCUGACCCUCCCCCACUCACACUCUGUCUUCCUCCAUCUCUCAAAAAUAAAUAAACAUUAAAAAAAAAAUUAGGGGCGCCUGGGUCGCUCAGUCAGUUAAGCAUCCAACUUCAGCUCAGGUCAUGAUCUCACAGUUUAUGAGUUCGAGCCCUGCAUCAGGCUCUGUGCUGACAGCUCGCAGCCUGGAGCCUGCUUCGGAUUCUGUGUCUCUUCUCUCUUUGCCCCUCCCCAACUUGUGCUCUCUCUCUCUCUCUCAAAAAACAAAUACAUGUAAAAAAAAAAAAAACUUUUUUAAUAAAAUAAAAAAAAUUUAAAACUUAGAGAUAGUAAAUGUGUUGGUCUAAGUCACUAAAUUUGUAGUAAUAUUGUUCCAUAACAAUAGGAAACUAAUAAAGUUAUGGAUAUUCAUACUUUUUUCCUGAUUUUUAAUUUUUUAAAUAAAAAACAUUAUAAGUAAUCUAAAUAGCCUCACAUCUGUUCAGGACAAACUUUGCUACCAGGAGAGUUUGGGCAGCAAAUAUAGGAAAAGUCUGUUGGUUUUCAGGGUCUUUUGGGCUUCCAAAUUAAGAUAAGAGAUCUUAGACUUGUACCAUAUAACCUUAUAGGGUUGCUGGGCGAUGGAAAAAAAAAUACUGUGUUAAGGUUUUGGAACAGGACUUAGCACAUAAGAAGUAUUCCAUAAACUAUGAUUGACUAUUAUUAUGAUUAGAAUCAGAGCUCCUGGGACAGGUCAGCCUCUCUGCUGUUAUUCCUUACAAGUUGCUUCUCAAGUUUCCCCAUUUCUAACAGGAGGGCUUCUUAGUGGAGACCAGAAAGAGAGUUGGGGGAAUAACUUCUGUUUAUUGAGCCCCUGUUCUGGGGAGGUUUGGGCUGGGUGUUCAGCGAGCUAUAAUGUGAAUUGCUUGUGAGUGAAAAGACAUAGGGUCUGCUUGUGGCCUUACUGCUGAAGAGGUGCACAACCCUAGGGAAAUGGCUUCUUGCUGAGUCUCAAUUUCUUUUUUUUUAAUUUUAUUAUUAUUUUUUAAGUUUUUUAUUUUGAGAGUGAGAGAGUGUGCAGGUGCAUGAGUGCAUGAGUUGGGGAGGGGAAGAGAGAGGUAGAGAGAGAACCCCAAGCAGGCUCCACUGUCAGCACAGAGCUUGAUACAGACUCAAUCUCAGGAACUUGGAGACCUGAACUGAGAUCAAGAGUUGGACACCUAACCAACUGAGCCACCCAGGCACCCCUGAGUCUCAAUUUCUUGAUCUCUCAGAUGGGGCUAGCUGAUCCCUCCCACCUAAAUAUGUGAGAGGAGAGGUAUGACAAGUGUACUUUAGACUGAAGGAUUAUUUUUGUUUUUAAUGUCAUUUGGAAAAGGGAAGAACAUAUGCAAGGUGUGCCUGACCUUUUCUUAUAUACACAAAGGAAAUGCUCCCAACCCCAAUAUAAAACCUCACCUUCAUCCCUGUGCAGAGCACAGAGGAGUGGCUCGUUUUUUGCCUAGUCUUCUGUGCAAUGUGAAUGGGGACUACAGGUCUCUACCUGCUCAGAUCACCAUACCUACCUUUGCAUCCCCUAUAUUUUUUUAAGUUUGUUUAUUUAUUUAUUUUGAGAGAGAGAGAGAGCACAUGCGAGUGAGGGAAGGGCAGAGAGAGAGGGAGAGGGAGAAUCCCAAGCAGGCUCCACACCAUUAGUGCAGAGCUUGAACUCAUGAACAGUGAGACCCUGGUCUGAGCCAAAAUCAAGAAUCGGAUGCUUAACUGGCUGAGCCACCCAGCACCCCUGCAUCCCCUAUUUCUUACGCAGUUAUGACCUGUACAGGAUCUCUCUCUACUUCCUCCACUAGACUGUGGGUUCAUGAGGGCAGUCCAGUGCCCUGCAUGCACCUCAGUAAACAUGGAAUCAAUGAAAACAGGAAAAGGAGUAAGGAGAUUACCAGGUGAACAGGAGGGUAAGACACUUUCAACCUGGACACUCACUGUUGAUUGUCCCAGGUAUGGUCAGAAUAGUCAAAUUUGGAUAUAUUUUGAGGGUUUAACCAAUAGACUUGCUGAAGUAUUGGAAAUGAGGGAAAGAGAGAAAUCAAGGCAUUGUUCAUUCAUUCAUUUUCAACUGAUAAUUAUUGGCUAUUGACUAGAUACUAGGUACUAUUUAAGAUGCUUUAGGUGCAGAGCAAACAAGAUGUUAAAGAUCUCAUGUUCUGAUUGAUGGAGGCAAGCAAUAAACAAGCAAGAUAUUACAAAAGAAUGUUAAGUUCUAAGAAGACAAAAGAGGACAAUGUAACAGGUUAUUAGGUAGGAUAUAUUUGGCUGAAAACCCAAUUCAGAAUGGCGUGAACGUUAAGGGUUUUAUGUCAUGGGAAAACUCAGAGUAGGAUUGUUCCACAGUUGGUUAUUCGGUGGCUCGAUGACAUCAUGGCUCCAGCUCAGCAUCUCUGUGACUCUCAGGUUUUCUUCUCACACUUGUAAGAUGAUUCUACAGGUCUAAGCAAUACCUCCUCGCACUAAGGUGUAGGCAGGGAAAAUCUGUUUUUUCUCACAUCUGUCUUUUAAGGGCAUAGAAAUCUUUGCCUAGAAGAACCCUCCAGCUCUAUCCUUACUAAACCAUCCUUGCCAAGGGGAAUGAGACAUCAUCUUUGAUGUAGAUCAGUCAUGAUUUAUCCCUUGGGGUUGGACAUGGGCCUGACCACCCUUGUAGCAUGUAGGUAUUGGAUACAUGAACAAAAUGAUGAUUCUGUUAGAGAGGGAAUGACCAUAAGCAACAAACACUGUCAUCCAAAGAGGCAGGGAAUAAUUAGAAAGGGUAAUGUGACCUCCCUAGAGAUGGUAAUGCUUGUUUGAGUCUUGUCAAGAAGUAGUUGUUAGUCUUAGGAAAUCUGGGGACUAGCACUGAGUAUAGGGUUUCUUUUUGGGGUGAUGAAAAUGUUCUGAAAUUGAUUGUGGUGAUUUUUGCACAAUUCUGUGAAUAUACUAGAAUGUGUUAAAUUAUAUACCUCAAGUGGGUGAAUUAUAUGGCCUAUGAAUGAUAUCUCAAAGAUGUUAUUUUCUAAAAGAACAAUAAAUGCAAUGCCUUGAGACUAGACAAACUUGGUAUGAAUCACAAAAAUUGUUUGAUUCACUGGGCCAGAUUCAGUGGAGAAUUCUCAUAGCAAACUUUAGUUAUAAUUCAUUCAUUAACAAAGGGUAUGAAACUCAAUUUCAGAACUUUUAUUUUAUUAUUAUUAUGUUUUUUGGUGUGAAAAGGUGAUUUUAUUAAAGCGUGGGGACAGGACCCAUGGGCUGGAAGAGCUGCCUCAGAACUUUUAAUAAAAGGUAGAGAAAUACCCUGUAUUUUCAGAUGUGAUAUUCCCUGUUGGUGUUUUUUGUUUUUUGUUUUUCCCCAAGAAUGCAGUUUUCCUAGGCUUCAAACCACUCAGCAUGGAUGGCCUCCAACAGACCUGCAGCCACUAGUAGGUGGGAUCUUGUCUCAUCCAAAGGGCUUCUUCUGUGGCUUAUAGAGGGAGAUGUUACAUUCUCCUUACAUGUAACAUCUGGUCUACUAAUUCAGAUGAUCAUUUUCCAUUGGAUACAAGCUUCAAUGAUAGAUAUUACCCAGCUUAGUUUCUGUCUUUCUCUUUUGUGGCUGAGAUUAUUUUUGCUGUUCAGGGAUUAGUUUUUGUUUGUUUGUUUUUGUUUUUGUUUCUUUUGGUCCUAACACAAUUAUAAGAAAACAUGUUUAAAAAAUCGCUUUAACAUUAUUGAAAUAUAGGGACGCCUGGGUGGCUCAGUCGGCUGAGUGUCCGACUUCGGCUUGGGUCAUGAUCUCAUGGUUCGUGAGUUCAAGCCCCGCAUUGGACUCUGUGCUGACAGCUUAGAGUCUGGAGCCUGCUUGUGAUUCUGUGUCUUCCUCUCUCUCUCUGCCCCUCCCCAACUCCUGCUCUGUUUCUCUCAACAAUAAAUAAACAUUAAAAAAAAAAAGUUUUAAAUGGGAAUGCAAGCUGGUACAGCCACUCUGGAAAACAGUAUGGAGGUUCCUCAAAAAGUUAAAAAUAGAACUACCCUACAGCCCAGCAAUUGCACUACUAAGCAUUUAUCCAAGGGGUACAGGUGUGCUGUUUCGAAGGGACACAUGCACCCCAAUGUUUAUAGCAGCACUAUCGACAAUAGCCAAAGUAUGGAAAGAGCCCAAAUGUCCACUGAUGGAUGAAUGGAUAAAGAAGAUGUGGUAUAUAUAUGUACACAAUAGAGUAUUACUUGGCAAUCAAAAAGAAUGAAGUCUUGCCAUUUGCAACUACGUGGAUGGAACUGGAGGGUAUUAUGCUAAGUGAAAUGAGUCCAUCAGAGAAAGACAAAAAUCGUUUGACUUCACUCAUAUGAGGACUUUAAGAGACAAAACAGAUGAACAUAAAAGGGAAGGGAAACAAAAAUAAUAUAAAAACAGGGAGGGGGACAAAACAGAAGAGACUCAUAAAUAUGGAGAAUAAACUGAGGGUUACUGGAGGGGUUGUGGGAGGGGGGAUGGGCUAAAUGGGUAAGGGGCACUAAGGAAUCUACUCCUGAAAUCAUUGUUGCACUAUAUGCUAACUAAUUUGGAUGUAAAUUAAAAAAAAUAAAACAAGUUAAAAAAAAUUUUUUUUUGAAAACACUGUGCUCACCAUUGAUAGGAGUACAGUGCCUUGUACAGAUGAGGAAGCUGAUACAAGUGUUAUGUAACUGUUCUUUGUGUUUAAUAAAUGGCAGCAUGAGAAUCUGAAAAAAGAAUUUUUUUAAAUUAUUGAAAUAUAGUUGACAUACAAUGUUGUAUUAGUUUCAGGUGUAAAACGCACUGAUUCAACAAUUCUAUAGGAAAAGAAAGCAUUUUUAUCAGAGCCAGUGCUUUGCACCUUGCAGCUGGGCCUCUUCUAACACUGCAGAGGUGCAAAUGAGCAUUUACUAAGACCUGGCAUUUGUCCAAAGCUGUGCAAGAGAGGGAGCUCAAGUCUAUCUCCUAAACAUAACUGAGGAACAAAAAGAAGGCCAGUGUUGCUGGAGUUCAGGGACAAAGAGAUAGGCGGGACUGGAUCAUUUAGGGCCUUGACAGCUAACUGCAGUUGGGAGUCACUGGAAGUCUUGAAACAAGGACAUGACAAGACCUGGAAGGUAUUUUAAACAGAUCUAUUUAGAGCCAUAAAUUUGGGUAAAAUACCUGCAACACGAGUAACUGAAGAAGACUAGUAUCUAGAGUAUAAAAAGUACUCCCACAAGAUAAAUAUGAUAAAAGCCAAAAAAUGCAAUUGGAAAAUCAGCAAAAUACCUGAGUCACCAGUUUCCCCAAAGAGGAAAUCCAGAUGGUCAAUAAACAUGUAAAAAAUGUUCAGUCUCAUUAAUCAACCAGGAAAAUAUGCUAAAACCACACACACACACACAGACAAAUACCCAUAUAAGCCACCAGAUUGUUAAAAGUAGAAAAAAAGAAUCUGAUAUUAUCAAAGACCUUUGACAGUGGUAAUGCAAACAUUAUGUAGGGAGACAGUGGAGAGCACCAGGGACUCAGGAUAGAGUGUUCAUAAUUAAAAGCCAGACAGAGGAAGGGGUGGGUCCUCAAAAGGAGAUUGAGAAGGAGCAGCCAGUGAGAAAGGAGGGGAACAGAAGAGUGUGGCUUUAGGAAAUCUUAGAGAGGAAAGUGUUUCAAAGAGAUACUGCUCAGAGAUCAAUUAUGAUUUAGAUGGAGAACAAAUCAUUAGAUUUGGCAAGGUGAAGAUGGGUGGCAGGUUUGAUAAGGGAUGUUUUGUGGAGGAAGCAGCUGAUUGACUUUACCCAGCCACACUGGGGAGUUGAAUGCUCAGGGGCCACCAUUUAGUUUGUUCACUUUCUUCUUUUUUACGGUUUGUCUCAAAAAAUAUCAAGAGACAUAUUGUUGACCACCAAUUCUUUAUAAAGCAGUGCACGUAUGCCUUCUUACAUGUAGCUAGCUGGUAUCAGAACUAAAUCCAUCAUACCCUUUCCAGUCUGAGUUACAAAAUAGUGAUAAUCUAAAAAAAAAAAAAAAAAAAAGAGUUCUCCUGAAGCACUGGAUUUUAAUAAUGAGCAGAACAAAAAGUCCUCUAGUACUUCUCCUUAUACCACAUAUAUGCCUAGAACUGACUCAUUUUCUAGACAUUUGUGAUUAGUGGCAUCAUACAACUCUAAAUAGAAUAUUUGCUAGCAUGAACACAGAACAGUAAUUCCUCUUUCACAUUAAAUGCCAUUGACAUUAUAUGAUGCCAAAUGCACUGACAUGGAAUUUUGCCAGCAGCUUGUUUUGCUUUCUCUGAGCACAUUUUCAAGAACUUUCUAGCUGGCUUUUACAAACCUUUUGACAACAGUGAGAACCACCUGGUUUAGUAAAUAAGGAAUGCAGCUCUGAAUGAAAUAUUGGUAGUUUUGGUCUGUUUCUGACUUUAGCAAAAAGAAUUAUUAAAUUCUGUACUAAAUUGUUUUGUUGUAGUAGUAAAAAAUUUAAUUGAUUUACCGGAGGUCACAAUGUUAUGCUAGAAAUUGAGAUGAAGGCAUCAUUAACUUCAUGCCAAAACCUGACAAAGUUUCUUAGAAGAUAGAUAGCACAGUGUCAAAAAAAAUAACUGCAUUGCUGAUUUUCAGAUAUUCACCUUUACACUUCUAUCCAUAUAUUUUUUUACUUGUUUCUGUGAAAUUACCACGUUGGUCUCCUUCUAAAAAUGGGCAUCCUGUUCAUUUUUUAUAUUUAUGCCAUUAUGAACUUUAAUAUUUACAUUGCUAUUUUCAUCAUUAAAUUUUUGCUUUAGUGCUUCCCGAGUUCUUGAUAACAUUUAUUUAAACAUUGGAGAUAUAAGACCACACAGUAGUAACCACACAAAACUUAAAGUGUGAAAAUAUUUUAAAUCGAGAUGAACUGCACCUGAUAACUGAAUAUUAGUGGAGACAAAUUGCCAAACACAGUUCUUAUAGUUCAUGUGGUAUGCCAAAAAUGGUAUAAUCACAAAGAAUGUAGCAGGACUUAUUAUUAUUAUUUGAAGACAAUAGUAUAAAGUUAAUAUUUUUCCUUUUGGGGGGUAACUCACUCAAAAGUAAAGAACAGAAUAAGAAAAACUAUGAGGCAAAUCCUUAAGUUACAAAAUAAGUGGAUGGGAGUGAGAGUAUGGGAGGUUGUUAAGAGUGCAGAUUUUAGAAAGAUCUUAUUAGAUUUAGGGUUUCAGAUUGGAUUGGGGUCAGGGUUAGGGUUAAAUAGCAAAAUAUACUACUUAAAAGUUAAGGACAUAGCUUAAAUCUCUUGUAUAGAGCCUAAAUCUUUCAUUUCAAAGGUAGGAAUGCAAUUCACAGGUUGGUUGCAGGAGCUUCCCUGGAUCCACAUGGCUUCAAGAAUCAGAGAAAGUGCAGCAACAUAUGUAUCACAUAGACAAGUUGUACCUUCAGAAAACAGUCUUUGUCUGUGACACUUGGGGAGAAGAGAGACUGCACUGUGAAUAUCCCUGUAUAGCCUAUCUCCAUUUGCUGGGGAAAAGUUAAGGUCAAGCAAAAUACUGGGUCAUAAGCAAAAUUCUUGUUGGUUUGGAAAACAGUAGAUAGCCAGAGUAACAGGAAGCUGCCUGAAUGGGCAGGAAGCCAGGAAGAACCGUGUAGGCCUGAGGAAGUGUUCCUAUAGCAACACAAUUGUUGUGCGUACCAACCCUUGGAAUGGCAGCUAUGUGGACAAGCUGAACCUGGGACACUCUUAAGCCAAAACCCAAGGAAGGCUGAAGUGGUCUUGGCUACUGACAGAAAUAGAAACAAACAUUAUCUGGAGGAGAGCUCUCCAAGUUCGGUUCAGAGGACUCCCACAGAUUAUGACUAAGCACUGAACUCAGAAACAAGAUUACCAAAUACACAAGAAGGCAAUAACCAUGAGUAAGAGUCAGCAGAAACAAACUAUCAAUUUAGA